Long non-coding RNA from Rosa rugosa (rugosa rose), 1110 nucleotides. RefSeq lists it as uncharacterized. The record is from RefSeq and is a predicted model, not a curated record. The transcript is spliced from 3 exons. Lineage: Eukaryota; Viridiplantae; Streptophyta; Magnoliopsida; Rosales; Rosaceae.
UUUUUACCUUUUGAACCAAAAUUGAGGAAGCUGCAUGGGUGACAUCCUGUGUCGUUACUAUUGCUGUCAGUCGACUUCGAUGGAUGAUUAGUACUACAUCUGGGAUUCUUUUCAUCAAGAUUUUUUCAUGAAACUUGUUUGAAAUCAUGUCUUCUAUGCUGUGCUCGAAAAUCAUAACAAUGCAACGGUUGGAUUGUUCUCAAUCAAGUUCAUCCUCGCAAUGGGUCAUGUUCCUACAGUGAUGUUUAGUUUAACCCAUGAGAUCUUCACCUUAAUCUUGCUCCGAAACUUACAAGAGUGCUAAUUGGACUUUGGCAAAGCUUUGGACUGAAAUCAAUGGAGGACCAGUAAAGGAAGUUCGUGUGCAUCAAUAUGUCACCAUGAAUUAACAAUCGAGGUAGGGAGGCUCACCCUAGUUAGCGGCUUUUCUGAAUUUUGUUAUUGUUUGUAAAUGCUUUAUAAAAUUUUCUUACUUGAGUUGAUGAGGAUGACUUGAGAGUGAGCGGGGCAUAGCUAGCGACUUCCUUGGGUUUCGAUCCCCUAAACCUCCGGAGGGGCUGUACAGACGGGAUAGUGUCUGACAUCCUUUGAGGUAUGACACUAGAUCUAGGUGGUAUGGCAUAAAUGGACACUCUCGCUACUCUUCACCAAUGGUUAAAGAUUUAUAUCUUUGGUGAGGAUGUAGUUGGCUAGUAUUAGACCGGUCAUCAGGUUUGGAUUUUACCCAGGUACUCUUGGAUUUCCAUUUUAUUUUACAUUGGAAAAAGCUUCUAUCGAUUUUAUUUCAUUUUACUCAACUGGCGCCAAUUACUAUUUGGUUUUCAAACCUAGCUAGGGUUGAUGUUUGAGCAGCGAGGACGAAAGCUCACCCCUACUAUAGUUGGUCUUGCAGGUACUGUGCACGAGGAUUGAGAAGGACUUUGGGACUGAGCUGGGUGUUGUGUAUUCACCUUAAACCUUUCGGUAUAAUUGCAUUCACAUAUUUAAUCACCUCUGUUUUAAUUGUCAUUAUUUCUUUGAGGUGAUAGUUUGAUUGUAAUGACCUCAAUCUUUGCUUAGUUCCUUCCGUUAAUUUUCAUUUGGUGUACCAAGUGUUCGAGACCAACUUGA